AGAGUUUGAUCAUGGCUCAGAAUCAACGCUGGCGGCGUGCCUCAGACAUGCAAGUCGAACGCGAAAGCCCUUCGGGGCAAGUAGAGUGGCGCACGGGUGAGUAACACGUAGGUAAUCUACCUUUGGAUUGGGAAUAACAACCGGAAACGGUUGCUAAUACCGAAUAAUGCAGCGGCACCUAAUGGUGACAGUUGUUAAAGCGGGGGAUCGCAAGACCUCGCGUCUGAAGAGGAGCCUGCGGCAGAUUAGCUAGUUGGUAAGGUAAUGGCUUACCAAGGCGAUGAUCUGUAGCCGGCCUGAGAGGGCGGUCGGCCACACUGACACUGACAUACGGGUCAGACUCCUACGGGAGGCAGCAGUCGGGAAUUUUGGGCAAUGGGCGAAAGCCUGACCCAGCAACGCCGCGUGAAGGAUGAAAUCCCUCGGGAUGUAAACUUCGCAAGAACGGGAAGAAUAAGUGAGAGCUAACAUCUCUUACGAUGACGGUACUGUUUGUAAGCUCCGGCUAACUCCGUGCCAGCAGCCGCGGUAAUACGGGGGGAGCAAGCGUUGUUCGGAUUUACUGGGCGUAGAGGGCGCGUAGGCGGCCACCGCAAGUCGACUGUGAAAUCUCCGGGCUUAACCCGGAACGGUCAGCCGAUACUGCGGGGCUAGAGCGCAGAAGGGGCAACUGGAAUUCUCGGUGUAGCGGUGAAAUGCGUAGAUAUCGAGAGGAACAC
RNAcentral lists this ribosomal RNA (719 nucleotides) under uncultured Acidobacteriota bacterium. RNAcentral describes it as "bacterial SSU rRNA". It matches the Rfam family "Bacterial small subunit ribosomal RNA", at positions 8 to 709 of the family's 1533-position model. Lineage: Bacteria; Pseudomonadati; Acidobacteriota. The record is from RNAcentral.